Molecule: ribosomal RNA, 253 nt
Filed under: uncultured bacterium
Lineage: Bacteria
Description: partial 16S ribosomal RNA
Rfam family: Bacterial small subunit ribosomal RNA
Source: RNAcentral
UACAGAGGUGACUAACGUUGUCCGGAAUUAUUGGGCGUAAAGGGCGCGUAGGUGGUUGAGUAAGUCAGGUGUGAAAGCUCUGGGCUUAACCCAGGAAUUGCGUCUGAUACUGCUCGGCUUGAGUACGGUAGAGGAGGGUGGAAUUCCCAGUGUAGCGGUGAAAUGCGUAGAUAUUGGGAGGAACACCGGUGGCGAAGGCGGCCCUCUGGACCGAAACUGACACUGAAGCGCGAAAGCUAGGGGAGCAAACGGG